This 1523-nucleotide long non-coding RNA is filed under the name Sus scrofa (pig). Its description in RNAcentral is "lncRNA (ENSSSCG00035064744.1)". Lineage: Eukaryota; Metazoa; Chordata; Mammalia; Artiodactyla; Suidae. The record is from RNAcentral.
GUCCACUUCGUCCUCUAAUCUCAUCACUCGGAGAAGAGAGCUGAGAGCUGGGCUGCACAUGGCAGAGAGAAUGAUGGAUAUCACCACUGGGAGAGAAGGAUCAGAAGGUGCAUCUGUGCUGGCCCAACGCCCACACCUCUGCCCAAUGUGAUAUAUCGAGACCAGCGUGAGGGGGACAGGCUGAUGCUCACUGCACAUCUGGCUCAGAGUGGGGCCUCCAGAACAUUGCAUGCUGGUAACAUCUCCCUGGGGAAGAAAAUGCUUGGUCCUCUGGGAAAGGAAUGUCUGUUCUCUGGGCUGGAUCUGUCUUGGGGGAACCGCCCCACCUGACCUCCCAGGAGUUCAGUAUUCCCCCUUCUUUCUCUCUGAUGCCCAUGAGGUAUUUCUGUAUCCUGGGCAGGACCGUGAGCAUCUUGGUAUCACCUCUCUAUCCCCAAUCACCAAGCACAGGACCCUGGAAAAUAGAUGGUUAUUAAAUGUUUGUUCAGAGAGUGAGGAAGCGAAUGAUGGAGCAAAUGUGUGAAAAAGGAGUCUCACUGCAGUCUAAGCACUCUGUCCAGUCCCUGAAGGCAAGUUACACCAGUGUGUCUGGUCCUCUCAAAGCUGACCAAUAGCAUAAGGUCUACUGCCGCAUGCCCUGCCCACUCAGAGACCUUUUACUCUGCUCACCAACCCUCCAUUCUUCCCUCCACCAUGUAAUCUGCUUCGGACAGUCCAAGGCAUCCUCCUGCCAGGAAAAGUCUCCUGAGUGUUGAGCCUCUCAGUGGAGGUUCCAACUCCAAUUAAGUAAAAGUUAGAAGAAUGCAGUGAAAUGCUAUGAUAAUCAGACAUCAUUCAAUGCCACGUCCCAGCAGAUAUCACUUUAGAGGGAUGGAUUUGUCUCAGCUGGACUUCAGGGCUCAUCCAGAAGCACCUGGAAGGACCAUCUAUUAGCAGCCAAUGAGAAUGGCACUGAGGAACAGUCAUUUUAACAAAUCAGUUUAUACAGGUGGAAUGGAUCCAUGGAGGCUUCCAGGAGGAGCAGUUAAAAUUGUUGUGGAAUUGACGUGGCUGCCUCCAAGCCAAGGUUGACGGAAAAGCUUUUUUUAGCUUUUUAUUCCCUGUAGGGAAAGGGACACUCUGAGCAUAUCCAAAAUGCCAAGGACCCUCAAAUGCAGCACUCCUAUCCUACAGAGAACCAUUUUACAAUGAGGAAAAAGAUUUGCAGAAGGGAUAAGAAGGUCCUAGGUUUAUACUGCACAUUGCUGGUGGAGUUUGGGAUCUGUAUAUGGACACCUCUGCCUCCUGAUUUCUCUGAAGAGCAGAUGGGGUGGAAAUCAUGCUGAAAUCUGCAAAACAUCCUAGACUGGUUCACAGAGACAUUGUCCUUGGAAUCAGAGGACCUGGGGGCUGGUUCUGGCUCUGUCCCUCACCUGCCUUGUGACACUGGGCAAGUCUAUUCUUCUCCCUGGGUCUCAGUUUCCUCACUUAUAAAAUGACCCAAUGGAGGAUCUUUAAAGGACCUUCCAGACCCCCAAAGCUGU